Molecule: ribosomal RNA, 270 nt
Filed under: uncultured archaeon
Lineage: Archaea
Description: partial 16S ribosomal RNA
Rfam family: Archaeal small subunit ribosomal RNA
Source: RNAcentral
CAGCUCUCCGAGUGGUAGGGAUGAUUAUUGGGCUUAAAGCGUCCGUAGCCGGCUUAGCAAGUUUCAUGUUAAAUUCAGCGACCUAAUCGUUGAGCCGCGGGAAAUACUACUAGGCUAGGAGGCGGGAGAGGUCGACGGUACUUCUGGGGUAGGGGUGAAAUCCUAUAAUCCCGGGAGGACCACCAGUGGCGAAGGCUGUUGACUAGAACGCGCUCGACGGUGAGGGACGAAAGCUGGGGGAGCGAACCGGAUUAGAUACCCGAGUAGUCC